Non-coding RNA from Vicia faba (fava bean), 204 nucleotides. Lineage: Eukaryota; Viridiplantae; Streptophyta; Magnoliopsida; Fabales; Fabaceae. The record is from the annotation of a GenBank genome assembly.
AUGCUGAUUCUUUCUACUUUUCUAGUUUACAAAAUGAAGGUUUUGUUCUGUCGUGAAUUCAUGGAGUCCGGACCAAGCCCUGAGUUGUUUGCAAUAACAUUAGCAUCAUGGUUUUGGAUGAGAAUUAUGGUGAUGAAUGAGCAUAUUACAGCAUGGUUUUGGUUGGAAGAAAGCGAAGUACUCGAAUAUAGAACCGUAUCAUGA